This 253-nucleotide ribosomal RNA is filed under the name uncultured bacterium. Its description in RNAcentral is "partial 16S ribosomal RNA". It matches the Rfam family "Bacterial small subunit ribosomal RNA", at positions 524 to 776 of the family's 1533-position model. The record is from RNAcentral.
UACGUAGGGUGCGAGCGUUGUCCGGAAUUAUUGGGCGGAAAGAGCUUGUAGGCGGUUUGUCGCGUCUGCUGUGAAAAUCCGGGGCUCAACCCUGGACUUGCAGUGGGUACGGGCAGACUAGAGUGUGGUAGGGGAGACUGGAAUUCCUGGUGUAGCGGUGAAAUGCGCAGAUAUCAGGAGGAACACCGAUGGCGAAGGCAGGUCUCUGGGCCACUACUGACGCUGAGAAGCGAAAGCAUGGGGAGCGAACAGG